UGGGGAAUUUUCCGUCAAUGGGCGGAAAGCCUGACGGAGCAAUGCCGCGUGGAGGUGGAAGGCCUACGGGUCGUCAACUUCUUUUCUCGGAGAAGAAACAAUGACGGUAUCUGAGGAAUAAGCAUCGGCUAACUCUGUGCCAG
RNAcentral lists this ribosomal RNA (143 nucleotides) under uncultured bacterium. Its description in RNAcentral is "partial 16S rRNA". It matches the Rfam family "Bacterial small subunit ribosomal RNA", at positions 355 to 511 of the family's 1533-position model. The record is from RNAcentral.